Molecule: ribosomal RNA, 119 nt
Filed under: Pteropus alecto (black flying fox)
Lineage: Eukaryota; Metazoa; Chordata; Mammalia; Chiroptera; Pteropodidae
Source: RNAcentral
GUCUACGGCCAUGCCACCCUAAACACGUCCAAUCCUGUCUGACCUCGGAAGCUAAGCAAGGUCGGGCCUGGUUAGUACUUGGAUGGGAGACCGCCUAGGAAGACUAGAUGCUGUAGGCA